GUGAAAAUAUAAAAGUCUAUCCAUUAUCCAUUUUAUUAUGAGCAUAGCUCAACUAACAUCUAUUUGUACUAUCAAUCUUCAGGUAGUUCGAUUUCCCACCACACAUAUUUUUAAAAGAAAAAAGAAAUCUAAGCAUUAUUUAAAGAUCCUAGAAAAUUACAUAAAGAACCACAUAAUUUAUGCUCCUUGGUCGCAUCAGGAGAGAG
RNAcentral lists this unclassified non-coding RNA (206 nucleotides) under Hevea brasiliensis (rubber tree). Lineage: Eukaryota; Viridiplantae; Streptophyta; Magnoliopsida; Malpighiales; Euphorbiaceae. The record is from RNAcentral.